CGGGGUGCAGCAGGCGCGAAAACUUUACAAUGCCGGCAACGGCGAUAAGGGAACCUCGAGUGCCAGGUUACAAAUCUGGCUGUCGUGAUGCCUAAAAAGCAUUGCAUAGCAAGGGCCGGGCAAGACCGGUGCCAGCCGCCGCGGUAACACCGGCGGCUCGAGUGGUAACCGUUAUUAUUGGGUCUAAAGGGUCUGUAGCCGGCCGGGUAAGUCUCUUGGGAAAUCUGGCAGCUUAACUGUCAGGCUUUCAGGAGAUACUGCCUGGCUCGAGGCCGGGAGAGGUGAGAGGUACUUCAGGGGUAGGGGUGAAAUCUUGUAAUCCUUGAAGGACCACCAGUGGCGAAGGCGUCUCACCAGAACGGACCUGACGGCAAGGGACGAAAGCUAGGGGCACGAACCGGAUUAGAUACCCGGGUAGUCCUAGCCGUAAACGAUACUCGCUAGGUGUCGGCCACGGUGCGACCGUGGUCGGUGCCGUAGGGAAGCCGUGAAGCGAGCCACCUGGGAAGUACGGCCGCAAGGCUGAAACUUAAAG
Molecule: ribosomal RNA, 535 nt
Filed under: uncultured archaeon
Lineage: Archaea
Description: bacterial SSU rRNA
Rfam family: Archaeal small subunit ribosomal RNA
Source: RNAcentral